GAGAAGACCGCCGAUGGCCCUAGGGCACAGGUAAGGGUGAAAGGGUGCGGUAAGAGCGCACCGGACGACUAGUAAUAGUUCGUAGCAGGGUAAACUCCACCUGAAGCAAGACCAAAUAGGCCUCCACAUUGCGUUGCUCGCGUAAGGAGGCGGGUAGGUUGCUCGAGCCAGUGAGUGAUUGCUGGCCUAGACGAAUGGCUACCGCCGCGCAAGCGGAACAGAACCCGGCUUAUGUGUCGGCUCCACCU
Molecule: RNase P RNA, 248 nt
Filed under: Vibrio sp. D406a
Lineage: Bacteria; Pseudomonadati; Pseudomonadota; Gammaproteobacteria; Vibrionales; Vibrionaceae
Description: partial RNase P RNA component class A
Rfam family: Bacterial RNase P class A
About the family: Ribonuclease P (RNase P) is a ubiquitous endoribonuclease, found in archaea, bacteria and eukarya as well as chloroplasts and mitochondria. Its best characterised activity is the generation of mature 5'-ends of tRNAs by cleaving the 5'-leader elements of precursor-tRNAs. Cellular RNase Ps are ribonucleoproteins.
Source: RNAcentral